CCUACGGGAGGCAGCAGUGAGGAAUAUUGGUCAAUGGCCGGGAGCCUGAACCAGCCAAGUCGCGUGAGGGAAGAAGGUACUGCGUAUUGUAAACCUCUUUUGUCAGGGAACAAAGCCGGUGACUAGUCCCCCGUUGAGGGUACCCGAAGAAAAAGCAUCGGCUAACUCCGUGCCAGCAGCCGCGGUAAUACGGAGGAUGCGAGCGUUAUCCGGAUUUAUUGGGUUUAAAGGGUGCGCAGGCGGCCUGUUAAGUCAGCGGUAAAAGUGCGGGGCUCAACCCCGUAGAGCCGUUGAAACUGGCGGGCUGGAGUUGGAGAGAAGUACGUGGAAUGCGUGGUGUAGCGGUGAAAUGCUUAGAUAUGACGAAGAACCCCGAUUGCGAAGGCAGCUUGCUGCAGCGGAACUGACGCUGAUGCUCGAAAGCGCGGGUAUCGAACAGGAUUAGAUACCCCAGUAGUC
RNAcentral lists this ribosomal RNA (459 nucleotides) under uncultured bacterium. RNAcentral describes it as "partial 16S ribosomal RNA". It matches the Rfam family "Bacterial small subunit ribosomal RNA", at positions 338 to 795 of the family's 1533-position model. The record is from RNAcentral.